AGAAUCAACGCUGGCGGCGUGCCUAACACAUGCAAGUCGAACGCGAAAGCCCCGCAAGGGGUCAGUAGAGUGGCAAACGGGUGAGUAACACGUGGGUGAUCUGCCUCAGAGUGGGGGAUAACGACCCGAAAGGGUCGCUAAUACCGCAUAACAUCCUGCCUUUGGAUAGGUGGAGAUCAAAGCCGGGAUCCGCAAGGACCAGGCGCUUAGAGAGGACGCCCGCGGCCGAUUAGCUAGUUGGUGAGGUAACGGCUACACCGAAGGCGACGAUCGGUACUCCGGCUGAGAGGGCGGACGGACACUACGUGGACUGAGACACGGCCCAGACCUCCGUAGGGAGCGAGCGAGGUGGGUAAUUGGUCGCAAGU
This 368-nucleotide ribosomal RNA is filed under the name uncultured soil bacterium. RNAcentral's name for it is "bacterial SSU rRNA". It matches the Rfam family "Bacterial small subunit ribosomal RNA", at positions 26 to 373 of the family's 1533-position model. The record is from RNAcentral.